CGAAGCAACGCGAAGAACCUUACCAGGUCUUGACAUCCCGAUGCUAUUCUAGAGAUAGAAAGUUACUUCGGUACAUCGGUGACAGGUGGUGCAUGGUUGUCGUCAGCUCGUGUCGUGAGAUGUUGGGUUAAGUCCCGCAACGAGCGCAACCCCUAUUGUUAGUUGCCAUCAUUCAGUUGGGCACUCUAGCGAGACUGCCGGUAAUAAACCGGAGGAAGGUGGGGAUGACGUCAAAUCAUCAUGCCCCUUAUGACCUGGGCUACACACGUGCUACAAUGGUUGGUACAACGAGUUGCGAGUCGGUGACGGCGAGCUAAUCUCUUAAAGCCAAUCUCAGUUCGGAUUGUAGGCUGCAACUCGCCUACAUGAAGUCGGAAUCGCUAGUAAUCGCGGAUCAGCACGCCGCGGUGAAUACGUUCCCGGGCCUU
RNAcentral lists this ribosomal RNA (428 nucleotides) under uncultured Streptococcus sp. Its description in RNAcentral is "bacterial SSU rRNA". It matches the Rfam family "Bacterial small subunit ribosomal RNA", at positions 952 to 1382 of the family's 1533-position model. Lineage: Bacteria; Bacillati; Bacillota; Bacilli; Lactobacillales; Streptococcaceae. The record is from RNAcentral.